RNAcentral lists this ribosomal RNA (483 nucleotides) under uncultured bacterium. RNAcentral describes it as "partial 16S ribosomal RNA". It matches the Rfam family "Bacterial small subunit ribosomal RNA", at positions 30 to 507 of the family's 1533-position model. The record is from RNAcentral.
AUUGAACGCUGGCGGCAGGCCUAACACAUGCAAGUCGAGCGGAUGACGGGAGCUUGCUCCUUGAUUCAGCGGCGGACGGGUGAGUAAUGCCUAUGAAUCUGCCUGGUAUUGGGGGACAACGUUUCGAAAGGAACGCUAAUACCGCAUACGUCCUACUGGAGAAAGCAGGGGACCUUCGGGCCUUGCGCUAUCAGAUGAGCCUAGCUCGGAUUUGCUUGUUGGUGAGGUAAUGGCUCACCAAGGCGACGAUCCGUAACUGGUCUGAGGGGAUGAUCAGUCACUGUGGAACUGAGACGCGGUCCAGACUCUGAGGGGAGGCCGCAGCGGGGAAUAUUGGAAAAUGGGCGAAAGCCUGACCAGCGAUGCCGCGUGUGUGAAGAAGGUCUUCGGAGUGUAAAGAACUUUAAGUUGGGAGGAAGGGUUGUCGAUUAAUACGCUGCAAUUUUGACGUUACCGACAGAAUAAGCACCGGCUAACUAUGUG